This is a non-coding RNA of Triticum aestivum (bread wheat), 137 nucleotides long. The record is from Rfam. NCBI's taxonomy places the organism in Eukaryota, Viridiplantae, Streptophyta, Magnoliopsida, Poales, Poaceae.
UGGUUACUCCCUCCGUUCCGAAUUUUACUUGUCUUGGAUUUGUCUAGAUACGGAUGUAUCUAGACUCAUUUUAGUGUUAGAUACCUCUGUAUCUAGACAAAUUUAAGACAAGUAAUUUGGAACGGAGGGAGUACAAA